UGAGUUCUCCCUGAGACUUAAAGUCUCCUGAAGGAACGUUGAAGACGACGACGUUGAUAGGCCGGGUGUGUAAGCGCAGCGAUGCGUUGAGCUAACCGGUACUAAUGAACCGUGAGGCUUAACCUUACAACGCCGAAG
Molecule: ribosomal RNA, 138 nt
Filed under: Salmonella enterica subsp. enterica serovar Infantis
Lineage: Bacteria; Pseudomonadati; Pseudomonadota; Gammaproteobacteria; Enterobacterales; Enterobacteriaceae
Also listed under: 10 other names
Description: partial 23S ribosomal RNA
Rfam family: Bacterial large subunit ribosomal RNA
Source: RNAcentral